AGAGAAUCACUUGAACCCGGGAGGCAGAGGUUGCAGUGAGCCAAGAUUGCGCCACUGCGCUCCAGCCUGGGCGACAGAG
Molecule: small nuclear RNA, 79 nt
Filed under: Homo sapiens (human)
Lineage: Eukaryota; Metazoa; Chordata; Mammalia; Primates; Hominidae
Description: partial ncRNA
Source: RNAcentral